ACUCCUACGGGAGGCAGCAGUGGGGAAUAUUGCACAAUGGGGAACCGUAGCAUGCAGCCAUGCCGCGUGUGUGAAGAAGGCCUUCGGGUUGUAAAGCACUUUCAGCGAGGAGGAAAGGGUGUAAGUUAAUACCUUACAUCUGUGACGUUACUCGCAGAAGAAGCACCGGCUAACUCCGUGCCAGCAGCCGCGGUAAUACGGAGGGUGCGAGCGUUAAUCGGAAUUACUGGGCGUAAAGCGUGCGCAGGCGGUUUGUUAAGCGAGACGUGAAAGCCCGCCGCUCAACCUGGGAACCGCAUUUCGAACUGGCAAACUAGAGUCUUGUAGA
RNAcentral lists this ribosomal RNA (328 nucleotides) under uncultured bacterium. Its description in RNAcentral is "bacterial SSU rRNA". It matches the Rfam family "Bacterial small subunit ribosomal RNA", at positions 335 to 655 of the family's 1533-position model. The record is from RNAcentral.